GGAAGAGACAUGGAUUAUAAGCAGGCAGUGGUACCAAGAACAACUUUCUGUUUAUAAAAUGAGUACUGUUGGUUUAUAUGGGACAUUCAUAUGGGUAUUGUUAGGUAAUACUAGCAGUCGGACAUCCACACAAGAAUCUGGUGCUUAGUGCCCCUGUUUGAAUGUAGCGGCAGUAGAAUAUGUGCACUAUAAGACUGCUGAAGAUAGCCAAGCAGUGUACCCAGCUGUCAAGAAUGCAAUUUGAGUGCUCAACUGCCGAUACAUUUAAAAAGAGGUACUCAGUACCACCAUUCCACCAAUUUUGACAGGGGGAGUCUCACUGGUCAAAUCCGAUUAGAUACUUCUCACCUAUCCUGUGGAUUGGCAAAAAGUUGCCAUAUUGGAACAUCACUUUUGGGCUUUAUUCACAUCUGCAUCCUGAAUAGCAUUUUUGGACCUCCAAUAAGGUCCCUUGGAUUCUGUCAUUGUGUUUGUUUUAUUGUAAAAAAAAUUAGUGUUGCAUAGUGCUCGGUUUAUUUUUUCGUGACAGAAUCUGUGAUGCAGGCUUCAAUGUAAAUGCUAGCAGCAUCUCACACUGCCUAUGAAUAACAUAGCUACUGUUUUCUACCCAGAGAGAAAAAAGUCAACGGGAUCACUUAUAAAAAUGGAUGAUAUAUGUAUCCUUGAUCCUUUAAACAACUGUUCCACAUCCUGUGAAUCUCCAGCUGUUGCAAAACUCCCAUCGUGCCUUGACAACCUAAGGCUUGCAAAACUACACCUCCCAUCAAACCUUUGGCUAAAGGUCUUAACUGUCCAUCAGACCCUUGCACUGAUUGAAGUACAGCGCUGUACCAGACACUGCAGAAAGGGUUGUAAUAGCUGCCUGGUGCUUCUGCGGCUCAUCUGACAGCAGCCUCCAAUGAAUUACAGCACAAUCUCUACACAGUCCAGAAAAAAGUUAUGAGGAAAACAUUACUUCAUAGCUCCAUUCAACAAACAGGAGCAAUUCAUAUACAGGAUUGGUGUACAAUGCACACAGCUGAGGCCACAUUGACACAAAGGCCCUAUUGACUGGAAUCGUCUUCCUAAUGAUGGCCCUGGAAGCUGGUAAUAGGAUUCCCAAUACAGUACACAGUCCUCCUUGAAACCAUCGAUAAAUCUUCAUUUAUUUCCAAGGAAGCUAAAUAGGCACAAAUAUAAAUAAAUAAACAAGACGCAUCAACCAGUUUUGCUGCUGGCUUAUAGGGUGCACUGAUUAGCUAUUGGCUUUGUUCAGGGUUCAUCUUAACAUAUCCAUUCCAGCCCAUUCCAUUCCCGAAGUACUGUUAUGAACAUAC
Long non-coding RNA from Hyla sarda, 1316 nucleotides. RefSeq lists it as uncharacterized. The record is from RefSeq and is a predicted model, not a curated record. The transcript is spliced from 3 exons. NCBI's taxonomy places the organism in Eukaryota, Metazoa, Chordata, Amphibia, Anura, Hylidae.